Impatiens glandulifera is the source of this 399-nucleotide long non-coding RNA. RefSeq lists it as uncharacterized. The transcript is spliced from 4 exons. NCBI's taxonomy places the organism in Eukaryota, Viridiplantae, Streptophyta, Magnoliopsida, Ericales, Balsaminaceae. The record is from RefSeq and is a predicted model, not a curated record.
GUUGCCUGCUUAUGUCUCGUGUUUGAAAGAUACAACAGAGCAAGCGAUAACUGGAAGGCUUUAAAAGAACUAGAGAAGGCAGCAAAAGUCUUUAGGAGUGCCAAAGACCAUUUACCUCCUCGGACAGUUAAGAUAGAUAUGAACAUCGAGAAGGAUUUAGCUUACGCGUUGCAAGUCAGGGAGUCCCCGCAGAUUUUGUUUUUGCGAGGAAAUAGAAUCUUAUAUAGGGAAAAGGAGAUUCGAUCUGGAGAUGAGUUGGUCCAAAUGAUAGCACACUUUUACUACAAAGCCAAAAAACCUUCAUGUAUGAAAGAAAGGUGAAGCUUUUUACCUUGAACUUAAUUGUUCAUGACUUUAAGCAAACUAUUUGAAAUGACAAAUCUAUCUUUUGUUUUUAUA